AAAUAUUAGAUUUAAUAUUAUUGUCAACGUGACUAGAAUAUAAAGAGUCACACACAAAGAACGGUCAAAAGAGAAAUAUAUAAGUGUGACUUAUAUAGGUAUGCGUUUAGUAAAUAACACUAAUUAGUUAGCAAAAUAUUAAACUCGUUAUUG
Molecule: microRNA precursor, 153 nt
Filed under: Medicago truncatula (barrel medic)
Lineage: Eukaryota; Viridiplantae; Streptophyta; Magnoliopsida; Fabales; Fabaceae
Description: miR2635 stem-loop (mtr-MIR2635)
Source: miRBase by way of RNAcentral